ACGAACGCUGGCGGCGUGCUUAACACAUGCAAGUCGAACGGAAAGGCCCUGCUUUUGUGGGGUGCUCGAGUGGCGAACGGGGGAGUAACACGUGAGUAACCUGCCCUUGACUUUGGGAUAACUUCAGGAAACUGGGGCUAAUACCGGAGAGGAGCUCCUGCUGCAUGGUGGGGGUUGGGAAGAUUCGGCGGUUGGGGAUGGACUCGCGGCGUAUCAGCUUGUUGGAGGGGUAGUGGCUUACCAAGGCUUUGACGGGUAGCCGGCCUGAGAGGGUGACCGGCCACAUUGGGACUGCGAUACGGCCCAGACUCCUACGGGAGGCAGCAGUGGGGAAUAUUGCCCAAUGGGCGGAAGCCUGAUGCAGCAACGCCGCGUGCGGGAUGACGGCCUUCGGGUUGUAAACCGCUUUCGCCUGUGACGAAGCGUGAGUGACGGUAAUGGGUAAAGAAGCACCGGCUAACUACGUG
RNAcentral lists this ribosomal RNA (467 nucleotides) under uncultured bacterium. RNAcentral describes it as "partial 16S ribosomal RNA". It matches the Rfam family "Bacterial small subunit ribosomal RNA", at positions 29 to 507 of the family's 1533-position model. The record is from RNAcentral.